Long non-coding RNA from Petromyzon marinus (sea lamprey), 1428 nucleotides. RefSeq lists it as uncharacterized. The record is from RefSeq and is a predicted model, not a curated record. Lineage: Eukaryota; Metazoa; Chordata; Hyperoartia; Petromyzontiformes; Petromyzontidae.
CCCCCCCCCGGGGGUGGUUUAAGCGCCGUCACGACAACAAAAAUCUCCCGUGGGCUUGCGGCAGAGCCAUCGCCUCGAACGUCGAGGCCCAUUUUGUUGGCGAUCUUUUUUGUUGUUCGUUACGGCGGUAGACAGCGACCUUCAACGUCAGUAGCAACAAUAGAAUACCUUCAUUGUUAUCAGCAGCAGCUGCAGCCUUGCUCCAUCCACUGCUGGGCGAAGGUCAUUGUAUACAUUCAUUAUCAUACCUUCAACGUCAGUAGCAACAAUAGAAUACCUUCAUUGUUAUCAGCAGCAGCUGCAGCCUUGCUCCAUCCACUGCUGGGUGAAGGUCAUUCAUCAUCAUCAACAGCCUUGCUCCAUGCUGGGCGAAGGUCAUUGUAUACAUUCAUUAUCAUACCUUCGACGUCAAGUAGCAACAAUAGAAUACCUUCAUUGUUAUCAUCAGCAGUUGCAGCCUUGCUCCAUCCACUGCUGGGUGAAGGUCAUUGUAUACAUUCAUUAUCAUACCUUCAACGUCAGUAGCAACAAUAGAAUGCCUUCACCAGCAUCAGCAGCCUUGCUCCGUCUACUGCUGGAUCAAGGCCCUGCCAAAGCCGCUCACGAUCCUGCGACGCGAUAAUCCAGCCAGCCGCCGGCGGAGCGGGACGAUGAUUCCAUCGCUCCGUCUCCGCGGUUUUUCACGUCCCAUCGGACGCGUUCCACUCCUCGACUGGGCACUCUGUCGUUGUUGUUUUUCUUCUUCACCUGCCGGACAUCGCCCCCCCCCCCCCCCACUGCGCCCAAGCACCGCUCACCUCGCCCAGCAGCUCGGACGAUGUCGUUAACCCCCACGUGCUUCUCUCGCCCCUCUCCUCUGCUUCUCAACAUCGUUCCAACCACGAGGUCGGGUCUGCACGUUUCUACGUACAGGCAGUCCCCGAGUUACGGACGGGUUAGGUUCCCCAGAACGAUCCGUAACCCGGGUUUUUCCGCGAUGUUCGGAAACGGAACUAAAUCCUUCCCCCCCCCCCCCCAAAAAAAAGAAGAUAAAAUCGCAUUGCCGGAAAUAGUUGUGCCUCAAUCUUGAUUUGAAAGCUUUCGUUGCCCGCAGGAAUCCAUACUCUUUGCUUCUUUCGGUAAAGUCACGUAGGUGGAAAGUCAAAAUAAAUCACGACGUUUCGAUCGCGACACAAGCGACCGUCAUCAGGUGAGACAAUCACAGCAGGGAAACUGCUGGAACGGGUUGCGCCUCGCCUGCCCGAUUGCUGCUUCGCUUUCUCUCAAUACCGGCGAUUUGGCGGAGCGAGGCAUAAGGCAAGGGCCGCCUUACGCCUCGCUCCGCCGGUAUUCACCCGCAACAUCACCGCGCUGCGUUGCUCGCGCUCACGUGACUAGCGCAAACCUUUGCGCAUGUUUAAAUGUUCACAUUUAAAUGUGUUUGUUUUU